AUUGAACGCUGGCGGAAUGCUUUACACAUGCAAGUCGAACGGUAGAGGGGGCAACCCCUUGAGAGUGGCGAACGGGUGAGUAAUAUAUCGGAACGUGCCCAGUCGUGGGGAUAACGUAGCGAAAGCUACGCUAAUACCGCAUACGAUCUACGGAUGAAAGCGGGGGAUCGCAAGACCUCGCGCGAUUGGAGCGGCCGAUAUCAGAUUAGGUAGUUGGUGAGGUAAAGGCUCACCAAGCCGACGAUCUGUAGCUGGUCUGAGAGGACGACCAGCCACACUGGGACUGAGACACGGCCCAGACUCCUACGGGAGGCAGCAGUGGGGAAUUUUGGACAAUGGGCGCAAGCCUGAUCCAGCAAUGCCGCGUGCAGGAUGAAGGCCUUC
This 384-nucleotide ribosomal RNA is filed under the name uncultured bacterium. RNAcentral's name for it is "bacterial SSU rRNA". It matches the Rfam family "Bacterial small subunit ribosomal RNA", at positions 30 to 419 of the family's 1533-position model. The record is from RNAcentral.